Felis catus (domestic cat) is the source of this 622-nucleotide non-coding RNA. The record is from the annotation of a RefSeq genome assembly. NCBI's taxonomy places the organism in Eukaryota, Metazoa, Chordata, Mammalia, Carnivora, Felidae.
AGGAGGCUGGGCUUUGGGCUCCUGUGCAGCUGCAGGUGGGCCUGGGUCAGCGGUGGAGGGACUGACAGAGGGUUUGUGUUCGAGGCUAUGUCACAGUGUCAUAUUUUCGGUGGAGGGACCCAUCUGACUGUCCUCGGUCAGCCCAAGGCGGCCCCCUCGGUCACACUCUUCCCGCCCUCCAAUGAGGAGCUCAGCGCCAACAAGGCCACCCUGGUGUGCCUCAUCAGUGACUUCUACCCCAGCAGUUUGACGGUGGCCUGGAAGGCAGACGGCACCCCCGUCACCCAGGGCGUGGAGACCACCAAGCCCUCCAAACAGAGCAACAACAAGUACGCGGCCAGCAGCUACCUGAGCCUGUCACCGAACGAGUGGAAAUCUCGCGGCAGAUUCACCUGCCAGGUCACGCACGAGGGGAGCACUGUAGAGAAGAGUGUGGUCCCCGCAGAGUGUUCUUAGGUCCCCGAGACUGUCAGGGAUGGAGGCCUUCCUCACCCAGAUACUCCUUCCCCAGUUCAUCAUGUACCCCUGAGAGCCAACUCCUGGAUCAGCUCAGACCAGGAAGGUCACACACCCUCCCGGUUUCUAUUUGUGCUCAAUAAAGAACUUAUCGUUUAUCAUUCAA